GGCGGCAUAGCAAAGCGGUAAUGCAAGGGACUGCAACUCCCUGACCCCCGGUUCAAAUCCGGGUGCCGCCUCCC
This 74-nucleotide transfer RNA is filed under the name Myxococcales bacterium. Its description in RNAcentral is "tRNA-Cys". It matches the Rfam family "tRNA". From Rfam's summary of the family: Transfer RNA (tRNA) molecules are approximately 80 nucleotides in length. Their secondary structure includes four short double-helical elements and three loops (D, anti-codon, and T loops). Further hydrogen bonds mediate the characteristic L-shaped molecular structure. tRNAs have two regions of fundamental functional importance: the anti-codon, which is responsible for specific mRNA codon recognition, and the 3' end, to which the tRNAs corresponding amino acid is attached (by aminoacyl-tRNA synthetases). tRNAs cope with the degeneracy of the genetic code in two manners: having more than one tRNA (with a specific anti-codon) for a particular amino acid; and 'wobble' base-pairing, i.e. permitting non-standard base-pairing at the 3rd anti-codon position. Lineage: Bacteria; Pseudomonadati; Myxococcota; Myxococcia; Myxococcales. The record is from RNAcentral.